UACGGAGGGUGCAAACGUUGCUCGGAAUCAUUGGGCGUAAAGCGCACGUAGGCGGCCUGUUAAGUCGGGUGUGAAAGCCCGGAGCUCAACUCCGGAAUUGCCAUUGAAACUGUUUGGCUCGAGUACGAGAGAGGUGAGUGGAAUUCCCAGUGUAGAGGUGAAAUGCGUAGAUAUCGGGAGGAACACCUGUGGCGAAAGCGGCGCACUGGACCACAACUGACGCUGAGGCGCGAAAGCUAGGGGAGCAAACAGG
Molecule: ribosomal RNA, 253 nt
Filed under: uncultured bacterium
Lineage: Bacteria
Description: partial 16S ribosomal RNA
Rfam family: Bacterial small subunit ribosomal RNA
Source: RNAcentral